UAGUAGCGGCGAGUGAAGCGGCAAAAGCUCAAAUUUGAAAUCUGGCACUUUCGGUGUCCGAGUUGUAAUUUGAAGAUUGUAACCUUGGGGUUGGCUCUGUCUAUGUUUCUUGGAACAGGACGUCACAGAGGGUGAGAAUCCCGUGCGAUGAGAUGCCCAAUCCUAUGUAAGGUGCUUUCGAAGAGUCGAGUUGUUUGGGAAUGCAGCUCUAAGUGGGUGGUAAAUUCCAUCUAAAGCUAAAUAUUGGCGAGAGACCGAUAGCGAACAAGUACAGUGAUGGAAAGAUGAAAAGAACUUUGAAAAGAGAGUGAAAAAGUACGUGAAAUUGUUGAAAGGGAAGGGUUUGAGAUCAGACUCGAUAUUUUGUGAGCCUUGCCUUCGUGGCGGGGUGACCCGCAGCUUAUCGGGCCAGCAUCGGUUUGGGCGGUAGGAUAAUGGCGUAGGAAUGUGACUUUGCUUCGGUGAAGUGUUAUAGCCUGCGUUGAUGCUGCCUGCCUAGACCGAGGACUGCGAUUUUAUCAAGGAUGCUGGCAUAAUGAUCCCAAACCGCCCGUCUUGAAACACGGACCAAGGAGUCUAACGUCUAUGCGAGUGUUUGGGUGUUAAACCCGUACGCGUAAUGAAAGUGAACGUAGGUGAGGGCUCUUUUGAGUGCAUCAUCGACCGAUCCUGAUGUCUUCGGAUGGAUUUGAGUAAGAGCAUAGCUGUUGGGACCCGAAAGAUGGUGAACUAUACCUGAAUAGGGUGAAGCCAGAGGAAACUCUGGUGGAGGCUCGUAGCGGUUCUGACGUGCAAAUCGAUCGUCGAAUUUGGGUAUAGGGGCGAAAGA
RNAcentral lists this ribosomal RNA (829 nucleotides) under Meyerozyma sp. RNAcentral's name for it is "partial large subunit ribosomal RNA". It matches the Rfam family "Eukaryotic large subunit ribosomal RNA", at positions 81 to 930 of the family's 3401-position model. The record is from RNAcentral. Lineage: Eukaryota; Fungi; Ascomycota; Pichiomycetes; Serinales; Debaryomycetaceae.